AGCCCGCCUCCUCGUCGCCGAGCUCGCCGAGCCCGCCUCCUCAUUCGCCGUCGCCGAACGUCGCCGACACUGGGUCCUCACUCGCCGCCGAUUUUGGAUUCGGAUCCACUUAUUAAGCUAUGGCAACUCCCUCACCCGAUUCAAUCAAUGAUGGCAUUUGCACUUUUGCAGACAUAUUCCUGGGUUGAACUGCAUAUUUUUUCUUUUGUUAAUCUCCUUAUAUGUUGUAUUGUGUUGUGUUCUUUCUUCCUGGCAUAAAGUCACUCUUGUUAUAUGGUGAAAAUGUCUAGAAUAAGGUAAUUGUUAAGAAUGUAGUUUAGAGGAUUUUUUAUUUUUAUUGGUACUAUUUACAUUUAAAUAAUAGAAGAACUUUGUAUUAAUUACUAUGAAUAAAUUAUCUCUAUUAGUA
Molecule: long non-coding RNA, 409 nt
Organism: Arachis duranensis
Lineage: Eukaryota; Viridiplantae; Streptophyta; Magnoliopsida; Fabales; Fabaceae
Exons: 2
Source: RefSeq, a predicted model, not a curated record